CAUAACUCCAGGUAUUUGCUGUUGUUAUGAACUGAUCAGAUUGUUUCUGGAAGAAACUCCUGGACAUAAGCACCUCAAUUGCAGAUGUUUAGUUUGAUGCCUCUAAGACGAGAAGUUUAAUUUUUUGCUAUUUAAAAGCAUUUCUUGCUUAGGAGGUUAAACAGUGGACAUUUUACUCUCUAAACUCUGAAGCUGUGUGUGUGUGUCAGCUUCCAGUUUGACAGAUGCAGCCACAGUAAUAUCACUGGAUCUCCUUGAGAGAAGCUGUCACCACGAGCGAAGCAGUCACAGACACCAGCCUGAACCCUCCAUAAACCUUCAAGUGGCUUUGCUUGGAAAACUCAGAACCACACCAACAUUGUGACUUCUUUUAGGCACCAUCAACUGGAAUUCCUUGAAGCCUUUUGCUUCAUUCUCAAUGUUUCUGAAGCAGAGAUCUACACAGAUACUGGACAAACCGUUUACCUAUUGACAGGCUUGGGAGGGCAGCUAUUUUCUUAACGAGGACAUAGAUAUAUAGCAAUUUUUGAAAGAAGAUGCCUUAAGAAUGCAUCUGUGAUUUCUUUUCAUGUAAUAAUGCAUAUUCUUAGCUAGUAUAAAGCCACAGGGUACCAUCAAGUUUUGUCAUGUAACUGUUACAAUACAAUUUCAUAGAACUGAUUCUUCUUCCAAGAGGCUCCCUAUGAAUGCUGCAUGAAACCUAAAUGAUAAUGAUGUAUCCGAUACAUCUCCAUUUUCACAUUUUCUCUGCCAACUACAGAAUCUCUAAUCACAAUUUUUAAACAUCUGUGCCUAAGUUUAGUGUAACUAAAAAAGCAAUGGUGAUGAUAAUAACCAAAGUCAAAAGUGUAUGGUAUACAAAAUUCUGUUUUACUCAGCCUUAUCCAAUUUAUUCGUCACAAUCCCCAAAUUCUACUGCCUCGUCAGAAUUCAAUGGCUGCUUUUCCGAAGCUCUAAAGAGAAUCGUAGCAUUGAUUAUCUGUUGGCUGCUGGCAUCUGGCUGCUCCACAUUAACUCUAAGAAUUUCCUGCUCAAAGUCAGAUCGUACUUACUUUGGGCUUUAAGUUUUUUUGGUAUUGUUGUUCAUUUGUAAAUUUGACCAACUUUUAUCACGAGUGUGUUCCAGCCUCUGACUGGGUCUCUAAGGUACAAGCCCUGUAACCUCUAGAUAUGACUGCACUUUAACGUGAAUGCCAUAAGCCACUCUCAUCCUGAAGACAAGGCCUAUAGCAGAGAAAUACGGGGGCCAUGCCCCAGGCUCAGUUAAAUGUCAGGAAAACAUAAAUGUGUUCUGCUCCUAUAGCUCAUCAUUCAAACCUCUGUUCAAGCGAGACAUGUUGAUUAGAACUAUUUGUACAAGAGCUUCUUAAAUUCAAAUGAUCUAAAUUAAACAACAACUUCAACCUGCUCAGGUGUUUUGUUUAGUUUCCCUGUAAGUGAAGAGUUUAUUCACAAAGAAUCACAGAAUAACCCGAUGUGGAAGGGUUCAUUGAAACUAACCCCUGGUUUCACACAAGACUGCCCAAAAACAAAC
Long non-coding RNA from Gallus gallus (chicken), 1534 nucleotides. Lineage: Eukaryota; Metazoa; Chordata; Aves; Galliformes; Phasianidae. The record is from Ensembl.